Molecule: transfer RNA, 66 nt
Filed under: Dolycoris baccarum (sloe bug)
Lineage: Eukaryota; Metazoa; Arthropoda; Insecta; Hemiptera; Pentatomidae
Description: tRNA-Tyr
Source: RNAcentral
AAUAGGGUGGCUGAAGUUUAGGUGAUAAAUUGUAAAUUUAUUUAUGGUAUAAUAUACCCCCUAUUA